CCUACGGGAGGCAGCAGUGGGGAAUAUUGGGCAAUGGGCGAAAGCCUGACCCAGCAACGCCGCGUGAAGGAAGAAGGCUUUCGGGUUGUAAACUUCUUUUGACAGGGAAGAGCAGAAGACGGUACCUGUCGAAUAAGCCACGGCUAACUACGUGCCAGCAGCCGCGGUAAUACGUAGGUGGCAAGCGUUGUCCGGAUUUACUGGGUGUAAAGGGCGUGUAGCCGGGCUGACAAGUCAGAUGUGAAAUCCGGGGGCUCAACCCCCGAACUGCAUUUGAAACUGUUGGUCUUGAGUAUCGGAGAGGCAGGCGGAAUUCCUAGUGUAGCGGUGAAAUGCGUAGAUAUGAGGAAGAACACCAGUGGCGAAGGCAGCCUGCUGGACGACAACUGACGGUGAGGCGCGAAAGCGUGGGGAGCAAACAGGAUUAGAUACCCCAGUAGUC
This 442-nucleotide ribosomal RNA is filed under the name uncultured bacterium. RNAcentral describes it as "partial 16S ribosomal RNA". It matches the Rfam family "Bacterial small subunit ribosomal RNA", at positions 338 to 795 of the family's 1533-position model. The record is from RNAcentral.